This 459-nucleotide ribosomal RNA is filed under the name uncultured bacterium. RNAcentral's name for it is "partial 16S ribosomal RNA". It matches the Rfam family "Bacterial small subunit ribosomal RNA", at positions 338 to 795 of the family's 1533-position model. The record is from RNAcentral.
CCUACGGGUGGCUGCAGUGAGGAAUAUUGGUCAAUGGGCGGGAGCCUGAACCAGCCAAGUCGCGUGAGGGAUGACGGCCCUAUGGGUUGUAAACCUCUUUUGCCGGGGAGCAAAGUGCAGCACGUGUGCGGGUUGGAGAGUACCCGGAGAAAAAGGAUCGGCUAACUCCGUGCCAGCAGCCGCGGUAAUACGGAGGAGGCGAGCGUUAUCCGGAUUUAUUGGGUUUAAAGGGUGCGUAGGCGGACGCUUAAGUCAGCGGUAAAAUUGCGGGGCUCAACCUCGUCGCGCCGUUGAAACUGGUUUCCUUGAGUGUGCGUGCAGUACGCGGAAUGCGUGGUGUAGCGGUGAAAUGCAUAGAUAUCACGCAGAACUCCGAUUGCGAAGGCAGCGUACCGGCGCCCAACUGACGCUGACGCACGAAGGCGUGGGUAUCGAACAGGAUUAGAUACCCUGGUAGUC